UGAGAUGUUGGGUGCAAAGCUUAUCUC
RNAcentral lists this small RNA (27 nucleotides) under Bombyx mori (domestic silkworm). RNAcentral's name for it is "ovarian small RNA-32184". Lineage: Eukaryota; Metazoa; Arthropoda; Insecta; Lepidoptera; Bombycidae. The record is from RNAcentral.